UACGUAGGGUGCAAGCGUUAAUCGGAAUUACUGGGCGUAAAGCGUGCGCAGGCGGUUUUGUAAGUCUGUCGUGAAAGCCCCGGGCUCAACCUGGGAAUUGCGAUGGAGACUGCAAGGCUUGAAUCUGGCAGAAGGGGGUAGAAUUCCACGUGUAGCAGUGAAAUGCGUAGAGAUGUGGAGGAACACCGAUGGCGAAGGCAGCCCCCUGGGUCA
RNAcentral lists this ribosomal RNA (213 nucleotides) under uncultured bacterium. RNAcentral's name for it is "partial 16S ribosomal RNA". It matches the Rfam family "Bacterial small subunit ribosomal RNA", at positions 524 to 736 of the family's 1533-position model. The record is from RNAcentral.